UUCCAGACUCCUACGGGAGGCAGCAGUGGGGAAUAUUGCGCAAUGGGCGAAAGCCUGACGCAGCGACGCCGCGUGAGGGAUGAAGGUCUUCGGAUCGUAAACCUCUGUCAGCAGGGAAGAACGGUCACUGUGCUAAUCAGCAGUGAAUUGACGGUACCUGCAAAGGAAGCACCGGCUAACUCCGUGCCAGCAGCCGCGGUAAUACGGAGGAUGCGAGCGUUAUCCGGAUUUAUUGGGUUUAAAGGGUGCGCAGGCGGAGGCACAAGUCAGCGGUAAAAUCGCGGGGCUCAACCCCGCUCCGCCGUUGAAACUGUGUCCCUUGAGUGCGCGAAGGGUAGGCGGAAUGCGUGGUGUAGCGGUGAAAUGCAUAGAUAUCACGCAGAACUCCGAUCGCGAAGGCAGCCUACCGGCGCGCAACUGACGCUCAUGCACGAAAGCGUGGGUAUCGAACAGGAUUAGAUACCCUCGUAU
This 471-nucleotide ribosomal RNA is filed under the name uncultured bacterium. RNAcentral's name for it is "bacterial SSU rRNA". It matches the Rfam family "Bacterial small subunit ribosomal RNA", at positions 329 to 793 of the family's 1533-position model. The record is from RNAcentral.